CCAAAUGUAGCUUAACUAAAGCAUCUCUUUUACACCGAGAAUAUACUUGCGCAAAACAAGCCAUUUUGA
Molecule: transfer RNA, 69 nt
Filed under: Myxine glutinosa (Atlantic hagfish)
Lineage: Eukaryota; Metazoa; Chordata; Myxini; Myxiniformes; Myxinidae
Description: tRNA-Val
Rfam family: tRNA
About the family: Transfer RNA (tRNA) molecules are approximately 80 nucleotides in length. Their secondary structure includes four short double-helical elements and three loops (D, anti-codon, and T loops).
Source: RNAcentral